Molecule: transfer RNA, 95 nt
Filed under: Flavobacterium succinicans
Lineage: Bacteria; Pseudomonadati; Bacteroidota; Flavobacteriia; Flavobacteriales; Flavobacteriaceae
Description: tRNA-Ala
Source: RNAcentral
UUCUUCAAUAGGUAAAGGGAAUAAUUCGUUUUUAUUAGCAGUAAAACCUGGAAUUUUCCCAGCUGCUUUACCCGUUCUAACUAGGUCGAAGAAAC